GAGCGUUACGUCCGCGCUGAUAAUGCAAUAGUGGAUGAAGCGAGCCGCAGCUCUGAAGAACAGCACGCUCCGCGCUUUGCUCAGCCAAAACAAUUCACGUCGAAGAACAUCCGCUGAUGACAUGCACUUGCCCCCAGCGACCCAUUUUCUCCUUUCGCUAAACCUCAAGGUCCUUCGCCGUUAAUGUCACUGGAGGAACGUGCACUGAUGUGACACAGUGGAUUGGGUGAACGCGCUUUCACGUUUAUCAGCUCGGACAAUAUUGUCGCAUAAUGAUGCGCUUCUUUUGAUGUCUGCGAAGCUGUCUGAACACGAAUAUAUUUGUCAGUAAGUCUGCUUUCCAGCGGGGCACAUCCGAUUUCCUGUCUACAUACCACCAGCUCUCUUCAGUCUGUCUUGAUAGAGGAAAUUGGAUAAGGAUGGAUCCAGAGCAGCAAAUUCAAAGCCAGUGCAAGACUAAUGAUCUGGAAUCAUCUGCACAACCAAAAGGACCAGCAGAUCCAUCUUUCCUUGCCCCUUCUACACCACCGACGGCUCCAGCCAGGCCUCGGCGGCCCCAGAGGAGCCCGCGAGUGGAAGGAUCCUUUGACGUAUCGGAGCUCAAACCUCCAGAAUCUCCUGAAGAGCAGCAGCUGAGCAGCCGUGCUGAACCGACCGAGCCCAACAGCUCCAGUCAGCCCUCAGAACUCAGUGUUGAUCAUGGACCUCCACAUCCGGCUGAACAGAAGCUUUUAGGACACGCUGCAGUGUCUCGGAGCCACAUUUCAAUGAGGGCCGCCUCGCUUCCUCAGACCCCGUCUUACAGACCACCUCUGACUGACGCCACCCUGCACCCGCAGAGGGCCCUGUCUGUCGCUGGGACCGCCGACACGCAGACGCAGGUGGUGGAGGAUUUCAGGUACGAUUUCAACAUUGUGUUGUGGUUUCAGUUUCAUAUGGCAAUUUCAGUUUCUGGCCAAGAGUGGAAAAUAUAACUGCUAAAUAAAUGCUGCAUAGGUGCUCAAUAGACACUUU
This is a long non-coding RNA of Cyprinus carpio carpio, 1014 nucleotides long. The record is from Ensembl. Lineage: Eukaryota; Metazoa; Chordata; Actinopteri; Cypriniformes; Cyprinidae.